RNAcentral lists this ribosomal RNA (467 nucleotides) under uncultured bacterium. Its description in RNAcentral is "bacterial SSU rRNA". It matches the Rfam family "Bacterial small subunit ribosomal RNA", at positions 28 to 507 of the family's 1533-position model. The record is from RNAcentral.
GACGAACGCUGGCGGCGUGCUUAAAAACAUGCAAGUCGAACGGACUUCUCAUGAAGCUUGCGAUUGAGAAGUUAGUGGCGGACGGGUGAGUAACGCGUGGGCAACCUGCCCCUGAGCCCGGGAUAACAGUUCGAAAGGACUGCUAAGACCGGAUAUACUUGCGGGGAAGCAUUUCACUGCAAGGAAAGGGAACGCUCAGGGAUGGGCCCGCGUCCCAUUAGCUAGUUGGUGAGGUAACGGCCCUACCAAGGCGACGAUGGGUAGCCGGCCUGAGAGGGUGAACGGCCACACUGGGACUGAGACACGGCCCAGACUCCUACGGGAGGCAGCAGUUGGGAAUCUUCGGCAAUGGGCGCAAGCCUGACCGAGCAACGCCGCGUGAGUGAUGAAGGUUUUCGGAUUGUAAAGCUCUGUCUUCCGGGACGAUAAUGACGGUACCGGAGGAGGAAGCCACGGCUAACUACGUG